RNAcentral lists this ribosomal RNA (468 nucleotides) under uncultured bacterium. RNAcentral describes it as "partial 16S ribosomal RNA". It matches the Rfam family "Bacterial small subunit ribosomal RNA", at positions 28 to 507 of the family's 1533-position model. The record is from RNAcentral.
GACGAACGCUGGCGGCGUGCUUAACACAUGCAAGUCGAACGGAAAGGCCCUGCUUUUGUGGGGUGCUCGAGUGGCGAACGGGGGAGUAACACGUGAGUAACCUGCCCUUGACUGUGGGAUAACCUAAGGAAACUGGGGCUAAUACCGGAUAGGAGCUCUUGCUGCAUGGUGGGGGUGGGAAAGUUUCGGUGGUUGGGGAUGGACUCGCGGCUUAUCAGCUUGUUGGUUGGGUAGUGGGUUACCAAGGCUUUGACGGGUAGCCGGCCUGGGAGGAUGACCGGCCACGUUACGACUGGAAUGCGGCCCAGACUCCUACGGGACGCAGCGGUGGAGAAUAUUAUACUAGAGGAGGGAGCCUGGUGCGACCACGCCACGUCGGGGAUGACAUCCAGCGGGUUGUAUACCACUUUCGCCUGAGACGAGACGAGAGUGACGGUACUGGGUAAAGAAGCACCGGCUAACUACGUG